Salvia splendens (bonfire salvia) is the source of this 1008-nucleotide long non-coding RNA. RefSeq lists it as uncharacterized. The record is from RefSeq and is a predicted model, not a curated record. The transcript has 4 exons. NCBI's taxonomy places the organism in Eukaryota, Viridiplantae, Streptophyta, Magnoliopsida, Lamiales, Lamiaceae.
AUUGUCGUUUCAAUUAGAAAAAUUCUUUCCCAAAUCUUCAUUAUUGCCGUUAAAAUUUGAAAUCUAUCACUCCCAAAUCUUCAUUAUUCGCUCAUCUCGGCUAGCUCAAAUUCUUGAAUGGUGAACGAAUCAAGGACAUCCUCUCUCAAAUGAUGCUCAACGAGAAAAUCGGAAAAAUGACUCAGAUUGAGCGCGUGUUGCCACUCCUUCCGCCAUUAAAGACCCCUCCAUAGGGUGUGUACUGAGUGUUGGUGGGAGUGGGCCUUUUGACAAUGCCAAGUCCUCAGAUCGGGUGGCCUUGGCCGACACUUUCCAGAAGGGUGCGCUGCUGUCGCGGCUUGAGAUCCCAAUGCCCUAUCAAUCGUUGAUGUGAUGCUGACUUGAUCCGGAGGAUUGGUGGUGCAGCUAGCGGAAUUCACUACACUUUUGCUCCAUGUGUUGCUGCACUACGAUUUUGGAAGCUAUAAGGGAAGUUGUUGGGGCCAAAACUAUGAAGAAAAUCCAUCUGGAAGUUCCUUUGACAUUGUGGUCGUGGGCGAGGGUCCAUAUGUGGAAUCUGGUGGCGACAGUUCAGACUUCAAGAUCCCCUCCAAUGGAGCUGAACUUGCCAGUGUCGUCACUGAUCAAGUCCCCACAUUUGUGAUCUUGAUCUCCGGUAGGCCUCUGGCUAUAGAGCCACAGCUAUUGAAUUAAGCGCACACCCUCGUUGCUGCGAAGGAGGCGAGCAGGAACGAGGGUGCUCUUGAGGUCUAACUCGUCCAUGAUAUUAGUGGCUUAGAUUACUAAGUCCAUUCUUCUCUCACUUUAUCUUGUUCAUGCAAUCUAAUUAUUUGCACUAGAGCUUCAAAAACUUACCUAUGCAGAGCAAAUCGAGUCUAAAGGAGCUUUUAAUUAAAAUAAUAAUACUUUUUUUUUCUAUAAAUUUCAAAUAUUUGUUAUAUUGAUAGUAAUAAUCACCAAAAGUGUACCCACAAGGGAGAGGUGUGAAUGCAUACGUACGUUCCUUCA